This 316-nucleotide unclassified non-coding RNA is filed under the name Hevea brasiliensis (rubber tree). Lineage: Eukaryota; Viridiplantae; Streptophyta; Magnoliopsida; Malpighiales; Euphorbiaceae. The record is from RNAcentral.
GAUGGCAGCUCUGUCCUGGUAAUACACUGAGCAGACUUCACCACUCUCUGUAGAGCCUUGCAGUUCAGGGCGAUGCAGCUGCCAUACCAGGCGGUGAUGCAGCCAGUCAGAAUACUCUCAAUGGUGCACCUGUAAAAGUUGCAGAGAAUCCUUGGGCCCAUGUUGAGCCUGGCCGUCCAGGUCAGGUGAUGUGAACCCAGAGGAACCUGAAACUGCUGACUCUCUCCAACAUAAUCCUGUUGAUGGAGAGGGGGGCGUGUUUAACUCCCUGUCUCUUCCUGUGUGUCAUCAGCAAAUUUAAUGAUGGUUUUGAAGC